This is a long non-coding RNA of Canis lupus familiaris (dog), 663 nucleotides long. RefSeq lists it as uncharacterized. The transcript has 4 exons. Lineage: Eukaryota; Metazoa; Chordata; Mammalia; Carnivora; Canidae. The record is from RefSeq and is a predicted model, not a curated record.
UGGCAGUAAUAAACAUAAUUUUUUGGAGUCAGGAUAAAUUUGUGUUGAAAGAGCAUUUGAAAAUUAAUUUAUAUAUAAGGCAAAUAAUGAAUUUCUAAACCAUGGUAAUGAGAACAGAAAUGGAAAGAAGGGCAAAGAUACUAGAGAUAUUGUGAGGGUAGAAUUAGGAAAUCUUGGGCAGCAGUUAAACUGUAGUAAAUGGAAUAGAACGUGGUUUUUCUGAGGUUUCUAGUUUGGUAAAGUGUGCAUUUUGGGUUGGAGAUGCAGCCUGAUUGUGGAAUGGAGAAGCAUCACCCAGCUCACUUGCUAAAGCCAUAAACUGAUCCAAUUGCCUCCUACCUCUGUUUUCCUAAAACUGCACCUGGCAGAACUGAGAGAACAUUGUAUCCUGCUCCUUAUAAGCCAAAUGUCAGAAGCCAGCUGUGGACACAGCCAUGAUUCAAACUGCUGAUUCUCCCCAGUGUGAAAAUGAAAAUAUAGACACCUGUGGAGGAUCAGAAAAGGGAAGGAAGAACAGAGAAACCUUGAUGGCAGCUGGUUUGUGAACAGCACUCUGGAAGGCAAAGGCUUCUCAGUGUUUUGUAGGCCUCUGCCACAGAUCAGACUGUGCUUUUUGUCCUAUUUUUAAAAGCAAAGGAUUCUUCCAGAAAUAUUUCUAAUAAA